Molecule: long non-coding RNA, 2337 nt
Organism: Oncorhynchus keta (chum salmon)
Lineage: Eukaryota; Metazoa; Chordata; Actinopteri; Salmoniformes; Salmonidae
Exons: 2
Source: RefSeq, a predicted model, not a curated record
UUUUAAUUAAUCUAGGAAUAGAGCUAAUCUAUGUUUUGUAAAUCUAGGUUUAUAAUUAACCAGAGAUGUGUGGCACCACUUCAUUUUAAAUCUGGCUCAGUAAAUCUAUAAUUAACGGUUUUAAACUAUGAUUAGUGACGUGUUGCACCAAUAUAUGAGUUUUUUAUUGAGUUGAAACGAAGUAGAUGGGCCAUUUUAUGCGACACAUUUAAUGGAUCGACACGGAUGAAAGAAAAAAGGAACCCAAAUGAAAUGAAGGUGUGCUGGAAAAACGAAAAGCGAAAGCGAAAGCAAAAAAAGGAUGCAGCAGAGGCGAGUGCUCUUUCAGACCGGAAGGGGCCUCCAAGGCUAUUGAUCCUCUCUCCCAGAAGAUUUGAGAGAUGAUUCCCCAGCAGUUUGUCCCUCUCCUUAACUCUUAUGAUGACGACGGACAACUCGGCCCACCAAUAUUUAGUCAACAUAAAUAACUGGGACUCCUGAAACAACCAGCAAACCAGGCUGUCGUGAUGUGAAUCAGUGGAUGUAAAGAAUCUAGCUAGCUAAAGCAUUUACUGCAAAUUGAAUGUACAAUUUUGGAAGCUUGCCUUGCUGAUAUUUGCCAUGCAAUGUGUUGGAUCCUGUGUUUUACAUUAUAGCCAUUACCAUAUAUAUGAUUGAAUAUUAUCUGCUGUUGGCUUGAGUGGAUGGAUGUAUGUAUGUGUUAUUUUUUUAUUUAUUUUUUUAUUUCACCUUUAUUUAACCAGGUAGGCUAGUUGAGAACAAGUUCUCAUUUGCAACUGCGACCUGGCCAAGAUAAAGCAUAGCAGUGUGAACAGACAACACAGAGUUACACAUGGAGUAAACAAUUUAGCAAGUCAAUAACACAGUAGAAAAAAUGGGCAGUCUAUAUACAAUGUGUGCAAAAGGCAUGAGGAGGUAGGCGAAUAAUACAAUUUUGCAGAUUAACACUGGUGAUAAAUGAUCAGAUGGGCAUGUACAGGUAGAGAUAUUGGUGUGCAAAAGAGCAGAAAAGUAAAUAAAUAAAAACAGUAUAAAAACAGUAUGGGAAUGAGGUAGGUGAAAAAGGGUGAGCUAUUUACCAAUAGACUAUGUACAGCUGCAGCGAUCGGUUAGCUGCUCGGAUAGCUGAUGUUUGAAGUUGGUGAGGGAGAUAAAAGUCUCCAACUUCAGCGAUUUUUGCAAUUCGUUCCAGUCACAGGCAGCAGAGUACUGGAACGAAAGGCGGCCAAAUGAGGUGUUGGCUUUAGGGAUGAUCAGUGAGAUACACCUGCUGGAGCGCGUGCUACGGAUGGGUGUUGCCAUCGUGACCAGUGAACUGAGAUAAGGCGGAGCUUUACCUAGCAUGGACUUGUAGAUGACCUGGAGCCAGUGGGUCUGGCGACGAAUAUGUAGUGAGGGCCAGCCGACUAGAGCAUACAAGUCGCAGUGGUGGGUGGUAUAAGGUGCUUUAGUGACAAAACGGAUGGCACUGUGAUAGACUGCAUCCAGUUUGCUGAGUAGAGUGUUGGAAGCCAUUUUGUAGAUGACAUCGCCGAAGUCGAGGAUCGGUAGGAUAGUCAGUUUUACUAGGGUAAGCUUGGCAGCGUGAGUGAAGGAGGCUUUGUUGCGGAAUAGAAAGCCGACUCUGGAUUUGAUUUUUGAUUAUGCAACAUAGCUGACUUGAAACAUUGUUAAAAGUAUCAGGGCCAUGGGACUUUCUCAUGAUGGAAAAAUACAGAGAAGCAUGAAGACAGUAACUGUUCAAAUUAGUUGGGAGGGGGGCACAUUCAGAGCGGGGUGUUGCGAGAACAAGCGGUCUUUUGUUAGAUAACAGGAGCCAGGUGCGAGAUAACGGUAUGGAGCAUGCGAGCCUGGAUGUUCUUCACAAGCAACAUUUACAUCUAUCAACAGAAGCGCCAAGAGGCGGGGACCCGCCUGAGCGCCUGCAAUAGGCUGAGCAAGUUUAAACCAUGCCCAGUCUCUACUGUGAUAGGCCAACAGACGGGUUGGAACUGUCUAUCACAGUAUAAAGAAUACUGUUUUACAUACAUCUUGUCUGUUCCCUGUUCUGCCCUGCGUGGUAUUACAGUGAGCCCGUAUAUACGAAAGUUGCAUUUGCCAUUUAUUACUUAGCUAAUAAAAAAUACAUAGUAUAAAAUCGGUGACUCAUUGUUAUAUUUAUCCUGAUACCAGAUUCGAAUUUACGCAACUCUAACAAAUGCAGAAAGAUGAAGUAACGUAGUUAUGUUCUUGCUUAUUGUGCAGUGGAGGAUACAAAUACCUGUAUUGUAGCCUGUACAUUUAAUAUAUUCACUGAUCAUGUAUUCUACCUUGGCAAAUAAAGGUGCAGUUCAGGUA